AGAUGCAGCAGCUUCUCCCUUGUCUCGGGACUCUCGGCGCCAGGGUAGGAUCAGACGCUUUGUGAGGAAACACCUGGGCAAGGCUGUGGCUGUCAUCCAGGAAACAAGGCAGCAGCAGGUGGAAGAGCCAGACGUGGCACAAAGCUUGCGUGUGGAAUUACCAUCAAUGUCGCCUGCUGUAGUUCAGGACAGCGAGAACCAGCCAGGCAUUGCCACUCUUCCAGACCCAGGAGCGGCCCCACGGCGACGACUGAACCGCUUCAGGAGAGUGCUGAGGUCUCUGCGCAAGGCUUUCCGUUUCUCCUGCCUCACCCCACGUGUGGAGGAGUAGCGCUCUGCUGCCAGCGCCAGGCCCAAGGGAGCUGCGCUGAGGAUGUCAUGCUGCAGCCUACACUUGUUGUGGGUGCUUUCUUGGGCCAAUAAAUAAUAACUCUUUCUCCCUACCACCCCAGUGCUCGUCUCUGCCUGUAUGUUGGUUGGAACAUAUUUGUGUAAUUCAUGGACCUCUCUAUUUAAUUAGCGUAAAACGACUGACUUCAA
Pezoporus occidentalis (night parrot) is the source of this 540-nucleotide long non-coding RNA. RefSeq lists it as uncharacterized. Lineage: Eukaryota; Metazoa; Chordata; Aves; Psittaciformes; Psittacidae. The record is from RefSeq and is a predicted model, not a curated record. The transcript is spliced from 3 exons.